RNAcentral lists this ribosomal RNA (407 nucleotides) under uncultured prokaryote. RNAcentral's name for it is "bacterial SSU rRNA". It matches the Rfam family "Bacterial small subunit ribosomal RNA", at positions 355 to 776 of the family's 1533-position model. The record is from RNAcentral.
UGGGGAAUAUUGGGCAAUGGGCGAAAGCCUGACCCAGCAACGCCGCGUGAAGGAAGAAGGCCUUCGGGUUGUAAACUUCUUUGACCAGGGACGAAGGAAGUGACGGUACCUGGAAAACAAGCCACGGCUAACUACGUGCCAGCAGCCGCGGUAAUACGUAGGUGGCAAGCGUUGUCCGGAAUUACUGGGUGUAAAGGGCGUGUAGGCGGGGCGGCAAGUCAGAUGUGAAAUACCGUGGCUUAACUGCGGGGGUGCAUCUGAAACUGCUGCUCUUGAGUGUCGGAGAGGAAAGUGGAAUUCCCAGUGUAGCGGUGAAAUGCGUAGAGAUUGGGAGGAACACCAGUGGCGAAGGCGGCUUUCUGGACGAUAACUGACGCUGAGGCGCGAAAGCGUGGGGAGCAAACAGG